CUUAGCAUUUAUUUCUUCUCCCCUUCUCCUCUCACACGAGCAAGCAUCGCCGCCGCCGGUCGCCGCCGGGAAGUCGUCCGGCGCACUCCCCGCCGGGGAUCCGGAUCGGGCCACCUCUUGGCGCUAGAAACCAUGGGCGGCAGCGGCCCUGUGACCCGUGGUUUCCGGCGGGGAUGAAGACGAGCGGCUCGCGGAUCCAUGUCUUCCAACGGGAUGGCGGCCAGUACUCGUGGGGUAGGCGAUGUCCGGAUCAGCCCCUCCCUGCACCCCAUCCCCAUCGCCGGCCCCUUCCCGGCAGCGGCCACGCCAACGGCCGGCCUCCCCGGCACGCGGCCUGCAAAGACCCUCUGCUCCCCUGCGGUGGUCUGAUGGCUUUGUCGCCGCUGCUUCCCUGCGUGCUGGUUGUGAGACGGGAUCAGGGGCCGAUUGCCUCCGUCACCGCCCCUUCCGGCCAAGGUGAGGAUUUUUGUCAUCCUUUUUUUUUCCUGUACGUGUUGUGCUUAGAAUUCACCUAGGGUUACUUACUAUUUUUCACUUGACAUUGAGCUUGUGAUUUGCGUUUAGGAGUACAUUAUUGGAUUACUGAUGUAAUUCUCGUGUGAAAUGGAGUACUGCUCUUCUGCUCAAAUUAAUUAAAACAAAAUGUGUAUAGUUUUAACAGCAAAACUCAGCUUUGCCAAUGGAUGAGGCACUGCUGACCCUCAUUUAAGGGAAAACUCAGCUUUGCAAUCAGCUAAAGAGGUAUUUCCUGUCAGAUAUAUAAUGCAGAGCUCACAGAAAGACGUAAAUUUAUUGAACUCCUUUUGCUGGAAAUUAUGAUUAAUUUUGUUCUUAUGUAGAAUGUCUUUAAUUUGCAUCUGAAUUUCUUGUGCCACACACACGCAACUGCUCUGACACGGAUGAGUGCUAGCACACAAACACUGUGUUUGCUAGGUGAUUGAGGACGCAUUUGCACAAAAACCGUUGGAUGAGACACUGCAAUUGUGGUGAUUAGCAAGCAAGUUACUGCUCCAUGUAACCAUCUCAUACAAGAUCGUUAUACAAUUGUGGUGAUCAGCAAGCAAGUUACUGCUUCUUUCCACUCUUGCUAAUUUUGAAUUUUCUUACACCAUUUUAUUUGAUUGUCGGUUCUGCUGCAUUUCAGAUGGCACUCUGUCAAUAGCUCCAAACUAAUUCAGAAAAGCAUCUAUGAUCUCUCAAAGUGGUGUGUCUGUCCAGCCGUUACCAAUGGUUGCCGUAGCUGGCUUGUGGUGCUCUACCUCACGUAUGUCAGUGCCCAUGUGAAGAUUCAAGCUGCAAAUGGUUGUGUAUAGUUAGGAUAAUAUCCUGUCAAUGGACCCAGUUUUCCUAUUUCUUAGCAAUAUAUAUUUGUUACAAGGGAUGUGUUAUCAAAAUUUUAGCAUCUUGUUUCCAGUUUUGUUUGUACAUUGCCGUCGAAACUGGGUACCAAUGAACACAAAACUGAAACGCUUUAACCAACAGCACAAGAACUCAAGAAGGUUCAA
Molecule: long non-coding RNA, 1505 nt
Organism: Panicum virgatum (switchgrass)
Lineage: Eukaryota; Viridiplantae; Streptophyta; Magnoliopsida; Poales; Poaceae
Exons: 2
Source: RefSeq, a predicted model, not a curated record